UUGACCUGUCUCAAUCUUAUGCCAAUGCCACAGUCUUAAUUAUUGUAGCUUUAUAAUAGGCCUUGAUAUCAGGUAGGGUGAGUCUACAACAUUGCUUUUCUUUUUCAAAGUACUGUGCUCUAUUCUAGGUUAUUUGCAAUCCAUAUAAAUUUCUGAAUCAGCUUGUCGAUUUCUACCAAAAAUUGUUUGCCAGGUUUUGUAUGUGUGCAUAUUGCAUCCAACAUACAGGUUUAGGCAGAAUAAAAUUUGUGAAUGGUAUGCAGUAAACUUGUUUUUUAUUUGUUUUACUCAUAUGGAUAACUGAGCCAGAAGCAUUAUUGAAAAGAAAUCUCUGCAGCUGGCCAUCACCUUGAUAGACUUUUAAAAUGGAGCACAAUGAACCAUCCUUUGUGACUCCUUUCAGUAUCUUAUGUUGGGAAAAAACUGUCCCCAAAAUACAUGAUUCAGAGUUGUGAAGGUUACUCUUCCUGUCUAAAAGAAGAAAAGAUACAAUUUAAGAGUCAUCACAAGAGUCAGUUAACAGACAGUGAGGAAGUGGAACAAACAGAUGAUCCAACAUAGUAGAUGAACUCACAAUACAGGGAUGGAAACAGGCCAUCUCAGAAGACAGUACAGCAUAUAGAGUUAUCAGGUGAAUAGAUAGACAAGAAUGUUUAACAGAAAUAGUCACGUAAAAACUAAACUUAGAUGAAACAAUGUCUGGGUUCUCAUCACUCUAAUUUUGGAUUCUAGAAUCUUUCACUUCUGCUUUCUGAAUUAAAAAACCCUUUUUACUGUUUAA
Molecule: long non-coding RNA, 781 nt
Organism: Sapajus apella (tufted capuchin)
Lineage: Eukaryota; Metazoa; Chordata; Mammalia; Primates; Cebidae
Exons: 3
Source: RefSeq, a predicted model, not a curated record